RNAcentral lists this ribosomal RNA (490 nucleotides) under uncultured bacterium. RNAcentral's name for it is "partial 16S ribosomal RNA". It matches the Rfam family "Bacterial small subunit ribosomal RNA", at positions 30 to 507 of the family's 1533-position model. The record is from RNAcentral.
AUUGAACGCUGGCGGCAGGCCUAACACAUGCAAGUCGAACGGUAACAGGAAGACGCUUGCUUCUUUGCUGACGAGUGGCGGACGGGUGAGUAAUGUCUGGGAAACUGCCUGACGGAGGGGGAUAACUACUGGAAACGGUAGCUAAUACCGCAGAACGUCGCAAGACCAAAGAGGGGGACCUUCGUGCCUCUUGCCAUCGGGUGUGCCCAUAUGGGGUUAGCUAGUAGGUGGGGGAACGGCUCGCCGAGGCGGCGAUCCCUAGCUGGUCUGAGAGGAUGACCCGCCACACUGGAACUGAGACACGGUACAGACUCCUACGGGAGGAAGCAGUGGGGAAUAUUGCACAAUGGGCGAAAGCCUGAUGCAGCAAUGCCGCGUGUAGGAAGAAGGACUUCGGGUUGUAAAGUACUUUAAGCGGGGAGGAAGGGAGUAAAGUUAACACCUUUGCUCAUUGACGUUACCCGCAGAAGAAGCACCGGCUAACUCCGUG